This is a long non-coding RNA of Eurytemora carolleeae, 246 nucleotides long. RefSeq lists it as uncharacterized. The record is from RefSeq and is a predicted model, not a curated record. Lineage: Eukaryota; Metazoa; Arthropoda; Copepoda; Calanoida; Temoridae. The transcript is spliced from 3 exons.
CACAGCGUGCUGCGUGUAUCUCGCUCUCGUGGGAAUAUUUGGUUUGGCACUAAACAUUUUCCUUGUAAUACUUUUCAAGACAGAUAAAAAGUUGCAGACAGAUUUCUACAAACUAGUUCUUAGCCUUCUGAUCUCAGAUAUAUUCAUCAUCUGUAUGGGUGUCCCAGUAGACUUCUACAGUUCUUAUAGAGAGGGCUGGGCACUUGGAGAGGUAUGGUGCACUGUUUUUGGAUUCCUAAUCACAAC